Molecule: ribosomal RNA, 459 nt
Filed under: uncultured bacterium
Lineage: Bacteria
Description: partial 16S ribosomal RNA
Rfam family: Bacterial small subunit ribosomal RNA
Source: RNAcentral
CCUACGGGUGGCAGCAGUGAGGAAUAUUGGUCAAUGGUCGGGAGACUGAACCAGCCAAGCCGCGUGAGGGAGGAAGGUACAGAGUAUCGUAAACCUCUUUUGUCAGGGAACAAAGACUGGGACGCGUCCCCGGAUGAGUGUACCUGACGAAAAAGCAUCGGCUAACUCCGUGCCAGCCGCCGCGGUAAUACGGAGGAUGCGAGCGUUAUCCGGCUUUAUUGGGUUUAAAGGGUUCGCCGGCGGUCUGUUAAGUCAGCGGGCAAAGCCCGGGGCCAAACCCCGGCCCGCCGUUGAAACUGGCAGUCUCGAGUUGGAGAGAGGGAUGCGGAAUGCGCGGUGUAGCGGUGAAAUGCAUAGAUAUCGCGCAGAACUCCGAUUGCGAAGGCAGCAUGCCGGCUCCACACUGACGCUGAGGCACGAAAGCGUGGGUAUCGAACAGGAUUAGAUACCCUUGUAGUC